UCCUGCUCUCAGAAGGUUCAACAGAAAAAUCUUCUCCAGAGGCCUCCACAUUGCCUUCAUAGUCCUCAUCCAUUUCAAGUGUUUUAAGCACACGACGAGCCAAUAGAAGACCAGUACAAUAUGCUGCAGCAUAGUUAGUGAGACCGACUUCAAGACCAUAACGAGGGAGUUCAUGAGAAUAAGCUGCAGCUAAAACCAUAUCACCAGCAAUGCUUGCAGAUAUGAUUUGUGCUGUGAUAUCCUUGUUGGUAAAUCUGACAACAAAGCGAUAUUUUGGUGUGUUGUAUUUGUUCUUGUCCUGAUUAAUGAGCCGGAUCCGGGCACGAUAAUCAGUCUUUCCCUCCCUCCGUCUCUUGAACUUGACUUGGAAACGCUUGAAGUAGGCCCUGGCCUUCUGGGCUUUCACAAACACCAUUGCUCUCCGGCUGG
RNAcentral lists this unclassified non-coding RNA (429 nucleotides) under Hevea brasiliensis (rubber tree). The record is from RNAcentral. Lineage: Eukaryota; Viridiplantae; Streptophyta; Magnoliopsida; Malpighiales; Euphorbiaceae.